GCGGGCGUAGUUCAGUGGUAGAACACUAGCCUUCCAAGCUAGUUACGUGAGUUCGAUUCUCACCGCCCGCU
This 71-nucleotide transfer RNA is filed under the name hydrothermal vent metagenome. RNAcentral's name for it is "tRNA-Gly-TCC". It matches the Rfam family "tRNA". Rfam says of the family: Transfer RNA (tRNA) molecules are approximately 80 nucleotides in length. The record is from RNAcentral.